This 94-nucleotide small nuclear RNA is filed under the name Otolemur garnettii (small-eared galago). Lineage: Eukaryota; Metazoa; Chordata; Mammalia; Primates; Galagidae. The record is from RNAcentral.
GUGCUUGCUUUGGCAGCACACAUACUAAAACUGAAACGAUACAGAGAAGAUUAGCAUGGCCCCUGUGUAAAUUCGUGAAGUGUUCCAUAUUUAA